This 505-nucleotide ribosomal RNA is filed under the name uncultured soil bacterium. RNAcentral describes it as "bacterial SSU rRNA". It matches the Rfam family "Bacterial small subunit ribosomal RNA", at positions 26 to 497 of the family's 1533-position model. The record is from RNAcentral.
AGGAUGAACGCUGGCGGCGUGCUUAACACAUGCAAGUCGAACGAUGAAGCCGGGAGCUUGCUCCUGGUGGAUUAGUGGCGAACGGGUGAGUAACACGUGAGUAACCUGCCCCAGACUCUGGGAUAAGCACUGGAAACGGUGUCUAAUACCGGAUACGAGCUUCAGCCGCAUGGCUAGGAGCUGGAAAGAAUUUCGGUCUGGGAUGGACUCGCGGCCUAUCAGGUAGUUGGUGAGGUAAAGGCUCACCAAGCCGACGACGGGUAGCCGGCCUGAGAGGGUGACCGGCCACACUGGGACUGAGACACGGCCCAGACUCCUACGGGAGGCAGCAGUGGGAAUAUUGCACAAUGGGCGAAAGCCUGAUGCAGCAACGCCGCGUGAGGGACGAAGGCCUUCGGGUUAGUAAACCGUCGUUUUUAAGUAGGUAACGAAGACGAAAGUGAACGGUUACCUAGGACAAGAAAAAGCGAACCGGACUAAACGUACGUAGACCAGCACGACCGAC